CCACCCGUGUUUAUUUACCUUGUUGCUUCGGCGGGCCCGCCUUAACUGGCCGCCGGGGGGCUUACGCCCCCGGGCCCGCGCCCGCCGAAGACACCCUCGAACUCUGUCUGAAGAUUGUAGUCUGAGUGAAAAUAUAAAUUAUUUAAAACUUUCAACAACGGAUCUCUUGGUUCCGGCAUCGAUGAAGAACGCAGCGAAAUGCGAUACGUAAUGUGAAUUGCAAAUUCAGUGAAUCAUCGAGUCUUUGAACGCACAUUGCGCCCCCUGGUAUUCCGGGGGGCAUGCCUGUCCGAGCGUCAUUGCUGCCCUCAAGCCCGGCUUGUGUGUUGGGCCCCGUCCUCCGAUUCCGGGGGACGGGCCCGAAAGGCAGCGGCGGCACCGCGUCCGGUCCUCGAGCGUAUGGGGCUUUGUCACCCGCUCUGUAGGCCCGGCCGGCGCUUGCCGAUCAACCCAAAUUUUUAUCCAGGUUGACCUCGGAUCAGGUAGGGAUACCCGCUGAACUUAAGCAU
Molecule: unclassified non-coding RNA, 509 nt
Filed under: Penicillium sp. 2-3
Lineage: Eukaryota; Fungi; Ascomycota; Eurotiomycetes; Eurotiales; Aspergillaceae
Description: sequence contains ITS1, 5.8S rRNA gene, ITS2
Rfam family: 5.8S ribosomal RNA (bases 147-299)
Source: RNAcentral